GAGAAGUUAGUUAAUUUGAUAAUGAAAGCUUGUCAAGCUUUAGUUGCUUAGAGAAGCACUUCUUU
Molecule: transfer RNA, 65 nt
Filed under: Acanthochitona mahensis
Lineage: Eukaryota; Metazoa; Mollusca; Polyplacophora; Chitonida; Acanthochitonidae
Description: tRNA-Asp
Source: RNAcentral